AACGAACGCUGGCGGCAGGCUUAACACAUGCAAGUCGAGCGCCCCGCAAGGGGAGCGGCCGCCGGGUGAGUAACGCGUGGGAACGUACCUUUUGGUUCGGAACAACUCCGGGAAACUGGAGCUAAUACCGGAUAAGCCCUAACGGGGAAAGAUGUAUCGCCGAACGAUCGGCCCGCGUCUGAUUAGCUAGUUGGUGAGGUAACGGCUCACCAAGGCGACGAUCAGUAGCUGGUCUGAGAGGAUGAUCAGCCACACUGGGACUGAGACACGGCCCAGACUCCUACGGGAGGGAGCAGUGGGGAAUAUUGGACAAUGGGCGCAAGCCUGAUCCAGCCAUGCCGCGUGAGUGAUGAAGGCCUUAGGGUUGUAAAGCUCUUUUGUCCGGGAAGAUAAUGACUGUACCGGAAGAAUAAGCCCCGGCUAACUUCGUG
This 431-nucleotide ribosomal RNA is filed under the name uncultured bacterium. RNAcentral describes it as "partial 16S ribosomal RNA". It matches the Rfam family "Bacterial small subunit ribosomal RNA", at positions 29 to 507 of the family's 1533-position model. The record is from RNAcentral.